AAGCUGGUUUCGGCCAGUUGAUCAACCCCAGAGGAAGUCACGGCUAACUUCGUGCCAGCAGCCGCGGUAAUACGAAGGUGGCAAGCGUUAUUCGGAAUCAUUGGGCUUAAAGGGCACGCAGGCGGAAACAGUGUGUGUUGUGUGAAAUCCCCCGGCUUAACCGGGGAAUUGCACAGCAAACUGCUGUUCUUGAGGCAGGUAGGGGUGCAUGGAACUCUUGGUGGAGCGGUGGAAUGCGUAGAUAUCAAGAGGAACGCCAGAGGUGAAGACGGUGCACUGGGCCUGUCCUGACGCUGAGGUGCGAAAGCGUGGGGAGCGAACGGGAUUAGAUACCCCGGUAGUCCACGCCGUAAACGAUGUCUACUAGGUCGUGGGUGUUCUGACACAUUCACGGCCGGAGCAAAAGUGUUUAGUAGACCGCCUGGGGAGUACGGCCGCAAGGUUAAAACUCAAAUGAAUUGACGGGGGCUCACACAAGCGGUGGAGCAUGUGGAUUAAUUCGAAGCAACGCGCAGAACCUUACCUGGGUUUGACAUGCUUGUAUGCCUUCUCUGAAAGGAGUUAGGCUGCCUUCGGGUGAAACUUGCACAGGUGCUGCAUGGCUGUCGUCAGCUCGUGUCGUGAGAUGUCGGGUUAAGUCCUUUAACGAGCGAAACCCUUGCCGUUAGUUGCCAGCGAGUAAUGUCGGGGACUCUAACGGGACUGCCGGUGUUAAACCGGAGGAAGGUGGGGAUGACGUCAAGUCCUCAUGGCCUUUAUGCCCAGGGCUUCACACGUGCUACAAUGGCAAUUACAGAGCGACGCGAUACCGCGAGGUGGAGCAAAUCGCAAAAAAAUUGCCUCAGUUCGGAUUGCAGGCUGGCAAUUCGCCUGCAUGAAGUCGGAAUCGCUAGUAAUCGCGUAUCAGCAAUGACGCGGUGAAUGUGUUCCUGAGCNUUGUACACACCGCCCGUCAAGUGAUGGAAGCCGGGAGUACCCGAAGUCGGGUUGCUAACCUUUGGGAGGCGCCUGCCGACGGUAAGUUCGGUGACUGGCACUAAGUCG
This 1044-nucleotide ribosomal RNA is filed under the name uncultured organism. RNAcentral's name for it is "bacterial SSU rRNA". It matches the Rfam family "Bacterial small subunit ribosomal RNA", at positions 449 to 1488 of the family's 1533-position model. The record is from RNAcentral.